Molecule: ribosomal RNA, 253 nt
Filed under: uncultured bacterium
Lineage: Bacteria
Description: partial 16S ribosomal RNA
Rfam family: Bacterial small subunit ribosomal RNA
Source: RNAcentral
UACGAAGGGGGCGAGCGUUGUUCGGAAUGACUGGGCGUAAAGGGCGCGUAGGCGGAUGGCACAGUCAGAUGUGAAAUUCCCGGGCUUAACCUGGGGGCUGCAUUUGAUACGUGUUGUCUUGAGUUCGGAAGAGGGUCGUGGAAUUCCCAGUGUAGAGGUGAAAUUCGUAGAUAUUGGGAAGAACACCGGUGGCGAAGGCGGCGACCUGGUCCGACACUGACGCUGAGGCGCGAAAGCGUGGGGAGCAAACAGG